AAGCCCCGCUUCUAGUAUAUCUGCAGUGAGCCGAAUAACAUGAACUAACCACAGUUUUUACUGUACAUAACUUCGUCAUUAACCCGAUGUUCUUGGACAAUGAAAUUAAGAGAAUACACUCAUUUCUGUAUCUUAAAUAUGAGCGUCAGACAUAGGACGUAGCGGAUUUCACACGCCGCAGUGCGCAGCUCUGAGGCGCAGGAUCGGGAAGUCGGACCGGAAACUCUCUCUGUAGUCUCGGAGAAGCCGUGAACAGCUCUAUUCCUUAAUCACGUCUCAACCGAAUGAUGGCUUCUUCAGGAGUAAUCUUCAAAACGUAGCUGCUUCUGUACUGUGGUCAAAGAUGUAAUCCUUUGUCUUCUGUGCUGAUCAUAAGAUAAGCAGCAGUACUAUUGGAGCAGAGAAGGUGUUGGCUCAUCAUAUCUAUGGUUACCGAGCCGGUUGUCUGGCCAGACGGUGUAUAGGGAAGCCUUGGUUGAAAGUGUUUCUGGAGUUGGACAAAACGAGGCUCUCUGAAGCACUGAAUCAAUAUGAAAUGACUGCAUAGAAAACAUUUACUUUGAGCAUAUGAUGCAGUAAAAAAUUGAAAGAUCUGCUGUCCAAAUCCUUGAUAUUGCAUUUCUAUCAGUGGAGCAAAGUGGCGACUAUGAUAAAA
Monopterus albus (swamp eel) is the source of this 655-nucleotide long non-coding RNA. RefSeq lists it as uncharacterized. The record is from RefSeq and is a predicted model, not a curated record. The transcript is spliced from 5 exons. Lineage: Eukaryota; Metazoa; Chordata; Actinopteri; Synbranchiformes; Synbranchidae.